RNAcentral lists this ribosomal RNA (858 nucleotides) under uncultured bacterium. Its description in RNAcentral is "bacterial SSU rRNA". It matches the Rfam family "Bacterial small subunit ribosomal RNA", at positions 38 to 867 of the family's 1533-position model. The record is from RNAcentral.
AGGGGCGGGCGUGCCUAUACAUGCAAGUCGAGCGGGGUAGAUUUGAAAGCUUGCUUUCAAAUCUACCUAGCGGCGGACGGGUGAGUAACACGUGGGUAACCUGCCCUUUAGAUUGGGAUAACAUCAGGAAACUGGUGCUAAUACCGAAUAGGAAGAAGAGUCGCAUGACUUUUCUUGGAAAGGUGGCGCAAGCUACUACUAAAGGAUGGACCCGCGGCGCAUUAGCUAGUUGGUGGGGUAACGGCCUACCAAGGCGACGAUGCGUAGCCGACCUGAGAGGGUGAUCGGCCACACUGGGACUGAGACACGGCCCAGACUCCUACGGGAGGCAGCAGUAGGGAAUCUUCGGCAAUGGGCGAAAGCCUGACCGAGCAACGCCGCGUGAGUGAAGAAGGUUUUCUGAUCGUAAAACUCUGUUGUAAGGGAAGAACAGCAGGUAGUUAAAUAAGCUACUUGUGUGACGGUACCUUAUUAGAAAGCCACGGCUAACUACGUGCCAGCAGCCGCGGUAAUACGUAGGUGGCAAGCGUUAUCCGGAAUUAUUGGGCGUAAAGCGCGCGCAGGCGGUUUUUUAAGUCUGAUGUGAAAGCCCCCGGCUCAACCGGGGAGGGUCAUUGGAAACUGGGAAACUUGAGUGCAGAAGAGAAGAGUGGAAUUCCACGUGUAGCGGUGAAAUGCGUAGAGAUGUGGAGGAACACCAGUGGCGAAGGCGACUCUUUGGUCUGUAACUGACGCUGAGGCGCGAAAGCGUGGGGAGCAACAGGAUUAGAUACCCUGGUAGUCCACGCUGUAAACGAUGAGUGCUAAGUGUUAGGGGGUUUCCGCCCCUUAGUGCUGCAAGCUAACGGCAUUAAGCAA